AGGAUGCUGAGGCCUACAGCGUGAUGCAGGCAGGAUGCUGAGGCCUACAGCGUGAUGCAGGCAGGAUGCUGAGGCCUACAGUGUGAUGCAGUCAGGGUGCUGAGGCCUACAGCGUGAUGCAGGCAGGGUGCUGAGGCCUACAGCGUGAUGCAGGCAGGAUGCUGAGGCCUACAGCGUGAUGCAGGCAGGAUGCUGAGGCAGGAUGCUGAGGCCUACAGCGUGAUGCAGGCAGGAUGCUGAGGCCUACAGUGUGAUGCAGUCAGGGUGCUGAGGCCUACAGCGUGAUGCAGGCAGGGUGCUGAGGCCUACAGCGUGAUGCAGGCAGGAUGCUGAGGCAGGAUGCUGAGGCCUACAGCGUGAUGCAGGCAGGGUGCUGAGGCCUACAGCUAUUUCAAAUCAUAAACACAACAUCAGGGGAGCAUGCCCACCU
This 430-nucleotide long non-coding RNA is filed under the name Salmo salar (Atlantic salmon). RNAcentral's name for it is "lncRNA (ENSSSAG00000098896.1)". The record is from RNAcentral. Lineage: Eukaryota; Metazoa; Chordata; Actinopteri; Salmoniformes; Salmonidae.